CUCCACCACCGUAUUACUAUCAUUCACCGCCGCCGCCAGUGAAAUCCCCUCCCCCUCCUUAUGUUUACAGCUCUCCUCCUCCUCCGGUGAAGUCCCCUCCUCCCCCAUACUACUACCAUUCACCGCCUCCUCCGGUGAAGUCUCCUCCUCCUCCAUACUACUACCAUUCACCACCUCCUCCGGUGAAAUCCCCACCACCACCAUAUUACUACCAUUCACCACCUCCUCCGGUGAAAUCCCCACCACCACCAUACUACUACCAUUCACCUCCUCCUCCUGUGAAAUCUCCUCCUCCUCCAUAUUAUUACCACUCCCCACCUCCUCCGGUGAAAUCCCCACCACCACCAUACCUUUACAGCUCUCCACCACCACCGGUAAAAUCUCCCCCACCUCCUGUCUACAUCUACGCUUCUCCCCCACCUCCCACACAUUACUAGGCUCAUCAAAUUCAACAAAAUUUCCCCAUUAUUCAAGUAAGUCCUAUACUUAUACCUUUACCUCAUAAUCCGUUUUAAUAAUUGUGCCCUAAAUAAAAUCGGAAUUUCUUCUUUCACAGGUUU
Molecule: long non-coding RNA, 560 nt
Filed under: Arabidopsis thaliana (thale cress)
Lineage: Eukaryota; Viridiplantae; Streptophyta; Magnoliopsida; Brassicales; Brassicaceae
Description: long non-coding RNA (ATHA_LNC000044)
Source: RNAcentral